This is a long non-coding RNA of Rhincodon typus (whale shark), 430 nucleotides long. RefSeq lists it as uncharacterized. Lineage: Eukaryota; Metazoa; Chordata; Chondrichthyes; Orectolobiformes; Rhincodontidae. The transcript has 2 exons. The record is from RefSeq and is a predicted model, not a curated record.
AAUCUUUUCAAUUUCUGAUCAGUCACAUGCCAGAGGCUCCAAUGAGUCAGCAGGGGUGUUUGAUCCCUUCCGAGAUGCCCUGCAAAUAUUCCGAAAUUCUGCUGCCCUCCGGGGAAUCUCUUGUUGCAGCGGAGCAGUGGUUUUUGGAGACUGGCGUCAGGCGUAGGAAUGAAACCAAUGAAUCAUACAAUGACACCGCACUCAAGGGGACGAUGUUGACUAUUAUGAAGGCACCAGGUUUUGUUCUGCCAAUUGCCGUCCUUCCACUCUCUCUAAUGUGUUGCAAUGAUUCUGGACCCACAGUACUACACAGUUCAAAUCUGCAAUGUCACACAGUAAUAUAAGGGAAAAAAAAUUAUUUGGUGUGAAUACAAAAGGCCUCACAGAUCCAAUUUCUUGAUGUGAAUUUUAUUAAACAAUGUAUAACCAC